GGGAGAAUGGACUGAGGGGACUUGGGGGAAAAUGGACUGAGGGGACUCGGGGGAAAAUGGACUGAGGGGACUCAGGGGAAAAUGGACUGAGGAUACUCUCGGAGGAUGAACUGAGGAUACUCGCGGAGGAUGCACUGAGGAUACUCGGGGGAGGACGGACUGAGGGGAUUCGGGGAGAAUGGACUGAGGGGACUUGGGGGAAAAUGGACUGAGGGGACUCGAGGGAAAAUGGACUGAGGGGACUCGCGGAGGAUGCACUGAGGAUACUCGCGGAGGAUGCACUGAGGAUACUCGCGGAGGAUGGACUGAGGUUACUCGCGGAGGAUGGACUGAGGAUACUCGCGGAGGAUGGACUGAGGAUACUCGGGGGAAAAUGGACUGAGGGGACUCGGGGGAAAAUGGACUGAGGAUACUCGGGGGAAAAUGGACUGAGGGGACUCGCGGAGGAUGAACUGAGGAUACUCGCGGAGGAUGGACUGAGGAUACUCGCGGAGGAUGGACUGAGGAUACUCGGGGGAAAAUGGACUGAGGGGACCCGGGGGAGGAUAGACUCAGGAUACUCAGAGAGGAUGGACUGAGGGGACUCGGGGGAGGAUGGAUUCAGGAUACUCAGAGAGGAUGGACUGAGGGGGCUCGGGGGAGGAUGGACUCAGGAUACGCAGAGAGGAUGGACUGAGGGGACUCAGGGGAGGAUGGACUGAGGAUACUUGGGAGAGGAUGGACUGAGGAUAUUCGGAGAGGAUGGACUGAGGGGACUCGGGAGAGGAUGGACUGAGGAUACUCGGAGAGGAUGGACUGAGGGGACUCGGGGGAGGAUGGACUCAGGAUACUCGGAGAGGAUGGACUGAGGGGACUUGGGGGAGGAUGGACUCAGGAUACUCAGGAUGGACUGAGGGGACUCGGGGGAGGAUGGACUCAGGAUACUCAGAGAGGAUGGACUGAGGGGACUCAGGGGAGGAUGGACUGAGGAUACUCGGAGAGGAUGGACUGAGGGGACUUGGGGGAGGAUGGACUCAGGAUACUGAGAGAGGAUGGACUGAGGGGACUCAGGGCAGGAUGGACUGAGGAUACUAGCGGAAGAUGGACUGAGAAGACUCGGGGAAGAGUGGACUGAGGAUACUCGCGGAGGACGGACUGAGAAGACUCGGGGGACGAUGCACUGAGGAUACUCGUGGAGGAUGGACUGAGAAGACUCAGGGAGGAUGGGCUGAAGAUACUCGGGGAGGAUGCACUGAGGAUACUUGGAGAGGAUGGACUGAGAGGACUCGGGGAAGAAUGGACUGAGGGGACUCGGAGAGGAUGGAUUGAGGAUACUCUGGGGAGGAUGCACUGAGGGCGCUCUGGGAAGGAUGAACUGAGGAGACUCAUGAAUAGUCUCCCACUACUCUAUCAGAGAUAACCACAUUUUAGCAAACACUCCGUUGGAGUCACCCCAUGCACACAUGUGUACAUGCAGCCAAGCCUUUUCCCACGCUAUUAGCUGGUGCAAGUUCCAUCCCUGGAUUUUAAGCAUGGGUCGCCUGGAAGAGCUUUGUUAGAGGAAGAAGAAAGAGGUGUAUCUCAGGAAAAUCCUGGUUCCCAAAGUUGCACAUUAUGUCAGAUGUACCUGUCUUUGACGGCUGGGAGAGCGGACAAGACCCUGCCCCAGCCCUGGCCAGGAAUGGUGGCUGGUGAGCCCCUAGUUGCAGGCAACCUGGACCUGUCCUCGCGGCACCUGAAGAGGGGAAAGGAGACUUGAGGAGAAUGACUGUCCCCAGGCGACCGCCCAUGAACACCUGAGCACCCAUCUGAUAAACAGCCUGGAGUCACUGGAGAGUGACAGCUUCCAUGUAUAUUCAUAUAUGCUCACCAUUAUUUUUCAUAACCACAUCACAUUGCAUCAUUUUAAUGUAUCAUAAUUUUCUCAACCAGCCCCAUCCAGAAGCUUCUUAACCCAAUCUCUUUCUAAGGCCCUCCAAAGGGCUGGAAGAGGGAGCAUCUUUAUUUUGCUGCUGCCAUCAGGGGUCUUGGGAGAGUCCCCUUGGAUCCUGAUUUUUCAGGGCUUGAUACCUGAGAAUAACUGACAGAAAUUUUGAGAACUGUGCCCCCAGUAAUAACAAUAAUUAACAUUGUUUUCAGUACUCUGGGCCAGGCACUGUUCUAAGCACUUUGUACAUAUUAUCUAAGUGACUCUUCACAACAACAACCUUCUGAGGGAGUUCAGCAUGCCCUGCCAAAUCUUACCCAUAGAACAGAUGCCUGUGGCGCUGCGGUGGUGCCCAACAGCUCUGAGUUUCAGCCUCUUCUUCCUGGGACUUAACCUCUCACUCUCCACUGCUGUCCUUUGAACACACAGGAGUAAAUUGGUGAGCACCAUUCAUUCAAAUGCACGGUGAGAAGUGUAGUGGGGAGAUGCAAAAGAAGAAUGAAAUAGCCCACAGAAGAUUUCCACACAAGCUGAUAAAUAUACACCUGUGGUUCUCGUUAACCACAGGAGUCAGUGUGGCCCUGUGUGAUAUAAUAAAGAAUAAACCUUUGGUCUCUGCCCCUAGUUCCUGGCACCGUGCUCCUGAAACCCUUGUACUUUCCUAAGUGAUAGUCGUGCUAGGAGCAUCUUUUGUUCUAAUAUUUAGUCUUUGACCUUGG
This 2625-nucleotide long non-coding RNA is filed under the name Homo sapiens (human). RNAcentral describes it as "HSALNT0302197". Lineage: Eukaryota; Metazoa; Chordata; Mammalia; Primates; Hominidae. The record is from RNAcentral.